GAGCGAGAAAAGGGGGGCAACUCCCUGAGUACAGCGGCGCACGGGUGAGUAACACGUGGGUAAUCUGCCCUGAAGUGGGGAAUAACACCGGGAAACCGGUGCUAAUACCGCAUACGAUCACGGAGUCUGCGGAUUUUGUGAUGAAAGGAGCAAUUCGCUUAAGGAGGGGGUCGCGGCCGAUUAGUUAGUUGGCGGGGUAACGGCCCACCAAGACGAUGAUCGGUAUCCGGCCUGAGAGGGCGCACGGACACACUGGAACUGAAACACGGUCCAGACUCCUACGGGAGGCAGCAGUGGGGAAUUUUGCGCAAUGGGGGAAACCCUGACGCAGCAACGCCGCGUGGAGGAUGAAGUCCUUCGGGACGUANACUCCUUUCGAUCGGGACGAUUAUGACGGUACCGGAAGAAGAAGCCCCGGCUAACUUCGUG
Molecule: ribosomal RNA, 429 nt
Filed under: uncultured bacterium
Lineage: Bacteria
Description: bacterial SSU rRNA
Rfam family: Bacterial small subunit ribosomal RNA
Source: RNAcentral